Molecule: ribosomal RNA, 572 nt
Filed under: uncultured bacterium
Lineage: Bacteria
Description: partial 16S ribosomal RNA
Rfam family: Bacterial small subunit ribosomal RNA
Source: RNAcentral
UGGGGAAUUUUGGACAAUGGGCGAAAGCCUGAUCCAGCAAUGCCACGUGUGUGAAGAAGGCCUUCGGGUUGUAAAGCACUUUUGUCCGGAAAGAAAUCCUUGGCUCUAAUACAGUCGGGGGAUGACGGUACCGGAAGAAUAAGCACCGGCUAACUACGUGCCAGCAGCCGCGGUAAUACGUAGGGUGCAAGCGUUAAUCGGAAUUACUGGGCGUAAAGCGUGCGCAGGCGGUUUGCUAAGACCGAUGUGAAAUCCCCGGGCUCAACCUGGGAACUGCAUUGGUGACUGGCAGGCUAGAGUAUGGCAGAGGGGGGUAGAAUUCCACGUGUAGCAGUGAAAUGCGUAGAGAUGUGGAGGAAUACCGAUGGCGAAGGCAGCCCCCUGGGCCAAUACUGACGCUCAUGCACGAAAGCGUGGGGAGCAAAACAGGAUUAGAUACCCUGGUAGUCCACGCCCUAAACGAUGUCAACUAGUUGUUGGGGAUUCAUUUCCUUAGUAACGUAGCUAACGCGUGAAGUUGACCGCCUGGGGAGUACGGUCGCAAGAUUAAAACUUAAAUGAAUUGACGGGGU